CAGGGAGCAGGGGACAGAGCUGGGAUUCGGACUGGCCUCCAGAGCAGAAACCUUCACCCCAGGCCUUCCUCUGGGUGCUGGUUCUUCUUGUCCUCCAACACCUCCGGAAAUUGGUGCUGGUGAAAUCUACUUUGUGGAACUGGUUAAAGAAGAUGGGACACUUGGAUUCAGCGUAACUGUAAGAGUUUUUAGGAGAGCUUGAAAAGCAGUUAACAAGAUGUCCGUCUAGAACCUGGUGGCCGUUCCACCCAGAUGGCAACCUCUGACAGUGUGCUUAGUUUGCACAAAUGUAAAGGGUGAAUAAAAAAACCAAUGGGGGCCUGCACUGGGGGAUGAGUUCAGAGACAAACAGAGGUACUGGGGAACCUCAGGCUGAGCAGGGCAUGCACUAGGGGACUCCAACCUCAUGAGGAGGCAGUGUAGGCAGAGUUGGGAGAUGUGUCCUGACUCUGAGGUCAAGGUGGACUGCAGAGAGAGAGAGAAGCAUAUUGGGGCUUCAGGGACACAAGCUAAAGGGUGGCAUUAACACCAGCGUGCCCUAUGGUGGUAUCUACGUGAAAUCCAUUGUUCCUGGAGGACCAGCUGCCAAGGAAGGGCAGAUCCUACAGGGUGACCGACUCCUGCAGGUGGAUGGAGUGAGUCUGUGCGGCCUCACCCACAAGCAGGCUGUGCAGUGCCUGAAGGGUCCUGGGCAGGUUGCAAGACUGGUCUUAGAGAGAAGAGGCCCCAGGAGUACACAGCAGUGUCCUUCUGCUAAUGAAAGCAUGGGAGAUGAACACAUGGCUGUUUCCUUGGUAACAGCCUUGCCUGGCAGGCCUUCGAGCUGUGUCUCGGUGACAGAUGGUCCUAAGUUUGAAGUCAAACUAAAAAAGAAUGCCAAUGGUUUGGGAUUCAGUUUCGUGCAGAUGGAGAAAGAGAGCUGCAGCCAUCUCAAAAAUGAUCUUGUGAGGAUUAAGAGGCUCUUUCCGGGGCAGCCAGCUGAGGAGAAUGGGGCCAUUGCAGCUGGUGACAUUAUCCUGGCCGUGAAUGGAAGGUCCACAGAAGGCCUCAUCUUCCAGGAGGUGCUGCAUUUACUGAGAGGGGCCCCACAGGAAGUCACGCUCCUCCUUUGCCGACCCCCUCCAGGUGCGCUGCCUGAGAUGGAGCAGGAAUGGCAGACACCUGAACUCUCAGCUGACAAAGAAUUCACCAGGGCAACAUGUACUGACUCAUGUACCAGCCCCAUCCUGGAUCAAGAGGACAGCUGGAGGGGCAGUGCCUCCCGAGAUGCAGGGGAAGGCCUGGGUCUCAGGCCAGAGUCUUCCCCAAAGGCCAUCAGAGAGGCACAAUGGGGCCAAAACAGAGAGAGACCUUGGGCCAGUUCCUUGAUACAUUCUCCUGAGUCCCACCCUCAUUUAUGCAAACUUCACCAAGAAAGGGAUGCAUCAACAUUGGCGACCUCUUUGGAAAAGGAUGUGAGGCAAAACUGCUAUUCAGUUUGUGAUAUCAUGAAACUUGGAAGUGAUAUUGUAAAUCCAACCUGCCAAAACUAAAUGCAGUUGUCAGGAGCAGAGACCUGGGGCUCCCAGCUGUGUCAUCAGGGCUAAUGGAGACAUCAAUAUGGGGCCUGAUGUUGGAGAACUGGAGACAUGAAGAGACACAAACCCCAAACUUUGUUGUGAGUUUAACCAUAAGUAAAUAGGACAACUGUAAUACCUUCAUAUUUCAAGCCUGAAAUGCCCAAUCUGCUUCUGUGAAUUUCCUCCUGAAAGGCAGAGAUGAAUUUGGUGGCCCAAGUCUUUAAAGGACAGCUGUCCAGAAAAGUUGGGCACAGUGUCUUUUCUCAGUAAACAUUCUGUAGCAAGCAG
This 1847-nucleotide small RNA is filed under the name Pongo abelii (Sumatran orangutan). RNAcentral's name for it is "processed transcript". Lineage: Eukaryota; Metazoa; Chordata; Mammalia; Primates; Hominidae. The record is from RNAcentral.